RNAcentral lists this ribosomal RNA (468 nucleotides) under uncultured bacterium. RNAcentral describes it as "partial 16S ribosomal RNA". It matches the Rfam family "Bacterial small subunit ribosomal RNA", at positions 28 to 507 of the family's 1533-position model. The record is from RNAcentral.
GACGAACGCUGGCGGCGUGCUUAACACAUGCAAGUCGAACGGAAAGGCCCUGCUUUUGUGGGGUGCUCGAGUGGCGAACGGGUGAGUAACACGUGAGUAACCUGCCCUUGACUUUGGGAUAACUUCAGGAAACUGGGGCUAAUCCCGGAUAGGAGCUCCUGCUGCAUGGUGGGGGUUGGAAAGUUUCGGCGGUUGGGGAUGGACUCGCGGCUUAUCAGCUUGUUGGUGGGGUAGUGGCUUACCAAGGCUUUGACGGGUAGCCGGCCUGAGAGGGUGACCGGCCACAUUGGGACUGAGAUACGGCCCAGACUCCUACGGGAGGCAGCAGUGGGGAAUAUUGCACAAUGGGCGGAAGCCUGAUGCAGCAACGCCGCGUGCGGGAUGACGGCCUUCGGGUUGUAAACCGCUUUCGCCUGUGACGAAGCGUGAGUGACGGUAAUGGGUAAAGAAGCACCGGCUAACUACGUG